UAAAGCUUGCAUUAUACUAUAACACAUCUCCUGAAUGCAACUCAAGCGCUUUAAUUAAGCUAAAGCUU
This 68-nucleotide transfer RNA is filed under the name Anolis cybotes (large-headed anole). RNAcentral describes it as "tRNA-Ala". Lineage: Eukaryota; Metazoa; Chordata; Lepidosauria; Squamata; Anolidae. The record is from RNAcentral.